AUUUGUUUAUUGUUUGCUGUUUGAAGUUCUAUUCCAAUAGUCAAAUUUCAGUUCUUGAUUUCGUCAUCUGUUUAGUGCCUAAAUUCUUUUCUGAAUUCUUGUCUACAUACACUCGUAGAGUUGAAUGAGUUUUUUCUUCAUUUGUCAAAUUCAAUCUUACUGAUACUGAAUUAAAAAUUCAAUUCUGUUUUUCAAUUUUUUUACUCUGUUAAAAUAAUUAGUUUUAAUGUUCUAAAUCAAUUUCUUGAGUAUUACUUCAACUGUCAACUCAAUUCCGAAUGUUAAUAAAUUCUUCUCAAUUCUGAAUUGAUUCAAUCUUGUGUUAACUGUUAGCUAUUCAAUUCUGUCGUUUCAUUCUUUUAAAUUCGAUUGUUCAAUUUUAAUUUAGUUCAGUUCUUUCUUUCGUUUUAUUCCAUUGUUCAAAUUCAAUUCAAUCCGAUUUAAUUCUGUUCUGUAAGUUCUUUCUUUCCUUUAAAUUCAAAUAUUCAAUUACUCAACUUAAUUAUGUUAUUUCUUCUUUUAAAUUCGAUUGUUCAACUUAAACCAGAAUAUUGUUGAAUUCAACCCAAUGCUGAAUGUUCUUAUACUGAGCUAAAUUCUGAAUAGGUUUGAAACUCCCCAGAAGACAACUAUCCAAUUUGUUUGUCUUCCUGUGUAUAAACUCUGCUGCGAAUUUCAAUGUUGUUGAAUUUAAUUCUGUUCCACACAAGAAUUGGAAUUCUGAAAUUGAAAUUCAGUCGUACUGAAUUUAAUUUUAUUCCACGCAAGAAUUAGAAUUCUGAAUUAGUUCACCUUUGUCUCGACUUUGUGGUUUGCAGAACCUUUAAUUCAAUUUCUGAAAAACCAAUUGAAUUUACAAACACAUUGUAAAUUCGAUUUUUUACAUGGUAUCAGUCUAGGUUGAUUUAUUCCUGGGAUUCUCAUUAGAUUUACUAAACACUACUUUUGCUGAAUUAUCUUAAAGGUAAAAAUGGCUACACCUACAUCAACAACUACUCCCCAACAAACAUACAUGGGACAUGUUUCUUACAACAUUUUCAGUAUGGUUCCUGAUAGAUUAGAAAGAGGAAAUUAUUUGACAUGGAGAAAUCAAUUUGAAUGUGCAUUGAGAGCACACAAGUUUAUGAAAUAUGUGAAUGGAACUAGUUCUUGCCCAGCUUCUAGAGGAGAAAAUGAUAUGGUUAAUCCUGCAUUUGAGGAAUGGGUAGCUAACGAUGAUCUAGUUCUAGGUUGGAUUUGUUAAAUCCGUGGGAGGGUGACCGCCGGUGCUAUCGAGUGAUUGACUGAGGUCGAAUUGGCCGGACAGACACCCAAUUCGUUGCUUAGCAACGAGAGGAAGAAAGGGGCGGAUUCUAGGGUUCUUCGUAUUAACUGCUCCCCUAGUAUCCGUUAAACGUAGGUUUAGGAAGAAUUCAAUUGUAUCUAAUUUGAUUCAUUAAUCAUGGUUUUACAGAGUAUUAUAUAUACUAAUUACAGUUAUUACAACAGUAUUAGAUCUUAACUGUAUUGCUAAUAUUAACAAUAAUAUUAACACUUAAUUAACUGCAUCUGCUCUGGUCCGUAGCCCAUUCCAAUUUCAGCCCAACUCUAUUAUUGGAACAUUUGCAAUCUUUACCCAAAGUUUCUUUGUUAUUACAAAUAUAUCAUUCACUUAAAUAUUUGCAAUCUUUACCCAAAGUUUCUUUGUUAUUACAAAUAUAUCAUUCACUUAAAUAUUUGCAAUCUUUACCCAAAGUUUCUUUGUUAUUAUUUUGGGUCAUUUAUCUGUCUAGUAUUCUUCAACAGAUAAUUGCUCUUAGGUCCUGUAACCAUGAUUAAGAUAUUUUUAUAAAUCAAAUUAUAUUAUUCUGAUUUACAUACUGUAAUUCCUUUACUCCCCCCUCAAGCCUUGGAGUAUAUGUUUAAUAUUCCAAGCUUGGAGUGGAAUGUUGUGAUCUCUUUCUCACCAAGUGAUUUUGUGAGAAAAUCCGCAAGUUGCACUACAAAAAAAAGGACCUUGUAUGGCGGCCUUUAGAUGGCGGAUUUCCGCCAUCAAUACUUCAAUAGUUUAGAUGGCGGAAAUCCGCCAUCUAUUCUUUCAGUCCGCCGAGGAAACGUUUUGGCUCGACGGCGGUUCGGAAUUUUUUUCGAUGGCGGUGUUUAGAUGACGGAAAUCCGCCAUCUAAACUAUCCCGCCCAAAAUUUCGAAUCUCCCCCAAUUUCCAGCCCGAUUACCCGAUUAAAAUGACUUAAGAUGGCGGAAAUCCGCCAUCUUAAGUCAUCGGGGACUCGGGCGGAAAAAGCCCGCCCAAAUUUCGAUUGGGCGGACUUUCACUUAAGUGCUGGCGGCACUUAAGUGUACUUACAUGGCGGAUUUCCGCCAUGUAAGAUUUGGGGUUUAUUAAAAACCCCAAAUCCAGACAGAACGCGUUUGUUCUGUCUUGCUUUGGAGUGAAGUGCUGCCGCCGUUCUGUUCCCGUCGAUUCGUCCGUGCCGCCGUUCUGUUCCGACUCCGUCCGCCGUCGCCGACUCCGUCCGCCGUCGCCGACUCCGAUCUCGCCUCCGGUGGUGGCCGUUCUUGCUUUGGUCUGUCCGUUCUUCCUUUGGUCGGUCCCUUCUUGCUUUGGUGAGAUAUAUUACUUAUAUGUUUUAAUAUUUGUUUUAUAUUUUUGAUUUUGAUUUUGUUUUUUUAUGGUAUCUUUGAUUGUUUUUGGGUAUCUUUGAUUGUUUAUCUUUGAUUGUAUUAAUAUAUUCCAUGUCCAUAUAUUUUUAAUCUUUGGGUAUCUUCUAUUUUUAAUCUAUUCAAUGUAAUGUUUACAUUUUGAUCUAUUUACUGGAAUUAAUCGAUCUAUUCACCAUGUUUAGAUUUACUGGAAUUUAUACUGGAAUUAAUCAAUUUACAUUUUGAUCUAUUUAGAAUAUAUGUUUAAAUCGCUAAUGUUGAAUAUUGUAUUUGAAUAAAGGAUUUCGGUGAAGAAAUCGCCGCUGCUCUCCGCCUGUCUCCCCGCCGGUUCUCGACGUCUCUGUGAUCGCCCUCUCCGGUUCGAUCUGUGAAG
RNAcentral lists this long non-coding RNA (3035 nucleotides) under Zostera marina. Its description in RNAcentral is "long non-coding RNA (ZMAR_LNC005658)". The record is from RNAcentral. Lineage: Eukaryota; Viridiplantae; Streptophyta; Magnoliopsida; Alismatales; Zosteraceae.